UACGAAGGGUGCUAGCGUUGUUCGGAAUCACUGGGCGUAAAGCGUGCGUAGGCGGCUUUACAAGUCAGAGGUGAAAUGCCAAGGCUUAACCUUGGAACUGCCUUUGAAACUGUAAAGCUGGAGUGUCGGAGGGGAUAGCGGAAUUUCUAAUGUAGCGGUGAAAUGCGUAGAUAUUAGAAGGAACACCGGUGGCGAAGGCGGCUAUCUGGACGACAACUGACGCUGAGGCACGAAAGCGUGGGGAUCAAACAGG
RNAcentral lists this ribosomal RNA (253 nucleotides) under uncultured bacterium. RNAcentral's name for it is "partial 16S ribosomal RNA". It matches the Rfam family "Bacterial small subunit ribosomal RNA", at positions 524 to 776 of the family's 1533-position model. The record is from RNAcentral.